RNAcentral lists this transfer RNA (76 nucleotides) under Methanosphaera sp. rholeuAM6. It matches the Rfam family "tRNA". Rfam says of the family: Transfer RNA (tRNA) molecules are approximately 80 nucleotides in length. The record is from Rfam by way of RNAcentral. Lineage: Archaea; Methanobacteriati; Methanobacteriota; Methanobacteria; Methanobacteriales; Methanobacteriaceae.
GGGCUCGUAGUCUAGCCAGGAUUAUGACGUGGGACUUCGGAUCCCAAGAUCAGGGGUUCAAAUCCCCUCGGGCUCG